UCGAACGAGGUACCCUUGACAGAGGCUUCGGCCAAUUGAUAGGAAUACCUAGUGGCGGACGGGUGAGUAACGCGUGAGGAACCUGCCUUGGAGUGGGGAAUAACAGUUAGAAAUAGCUGCUAAUACCGCAUAAUGCAACUAAGUCGCAUGGCUUUGGUUGCCAAAGAUUUAUCGCUCUAAGAUGGCCUCGCGUCUGAUUAGAUAGUUGGCGGGGUAACGGCCCACCAAGUCGACGAUCAGUAGCCGGACUGAGAGGUUGGCCGGCCACAUUGGGACUGAGACACGGCCCAGACUCCUACGGGAGGCAGCAGUGGGGAAUAUUGGGCAAUGGGCGCAAGCCUGACCCAGCAACGCCGCGUGAAGGAAGAUGGCCCUCGGGUUGUAAACUUCUUUUAUUCGGGACGAAACAAAUGACGGUACCGAAUGAAUAAGCCACGGCUAACUACGUGCCAGCAGCCGCGGUAAUACGUAGGUGGCAAGCGUUAUCCGGAUUUACUGGGUGUAAAGGGCGUGUAGGCGGGAGAGCAAGUCAGACGUGAAAUUCCAGGGCUCAACCCUGGAACUGCGUUUGAAACUGUUCUUCUUGAGUGAUGGAGAGGCAGGCGGAAUUCCGUGUGUAGCGGUGAAAUGCGUAGAUAUACGAAGGUGCCCCCGUGGCGAAGGCGGCCUGCUGGCCCUUUACUGACCCCGAAGCGCCAAAACCUGGGGACCCCACAAGGAUUAAAAACCCNNNNANUCCACAAANNAAAGAGCCUCUGUAUGGAUGUGGGGGGUCUGACCCCCUCCGUGCCGCAGCUAACGCAAUAAGUAUCCCACCUGGGGAGUACGAUCGCAAGGUUGAAACUCAAAGGAAUUGACGGGGGCCCGCACAAGCGGUGGAGUAUGUGGUUUAAUUCGAAGCAACGCGAAGAACCUUACCAGGGCUUGACAUCCCGCUGACCGGUGUAGAGAUACACUUUUCCCUUCGGGGACAGCGGUGACAGGUGGUGCAUGGUUGUCGUCAGCUCGUGUCGUGAGAUGUUGGGUUAAGUCCCGCAACGAGCGCAACCCUUAUUGUUAGUUGCUACGCAAGAGCACUCUAACGAGACUGCCGUUGACAAAACGGAGGAAGGUGGGGACGACGUCAAAUCAUCAUGCCCCUUAUGUCCUGGGCCACACACGUACUACAAUGGCGGUCAACAAAGAGAGGCAAAACCGCGAGGUGGAGCAAAUCUCAAAAAGCCGUCCCAGUUCGGAUUGCAGGCUGCAACCCGCCUGCAUGAAGUUGGAAUCGCUAGU
RNAcentral lists this ribosomal RNA (1278 nucleotides) under uncultured bacterium. RNAcentral's name for it is "bacterial SSU rRNA". It matches the Rfam family "Bacterial small subunit ribosomal RNA", at positions 62 to 1339 of the family's 1533-position model. The record is from RNAcentral.